Mya arenaria is the source of this 570-nucleotide long non-coding RNA. RefSeq lists it as uncharacterized. The record is from RefSeq and is a predicted model, not a curated record. The transcript is spliced from 5 exons. Lineage: Eukaryota; Metazoa; Mollusca; Bivalvia; Myida; Myidae.
UCAUAAAAAUGGCCUGUCCUCAGUUGGAGGUCAGAAGGGUCAAGUGUAUGGGAAGUGCGUGACCGUCCGUAAAUUUCCAUUUUUUGCCUCUUUUUUGGUCACACUCCAGUGGUCUCGAUUGGCGGUGUUACGCGCAUCAUCAACUGAACAUUGCCAUGAUGUGAAUACUGUUGAUACUGAUGAUGUGGAUGCUGAUGAUGUGGAUGAUGAUAAUGUGGAUGCCUCCGGACUGAAAUAGCUGGACAGUGCCAUGAUGUGGAUACUGUUCAUACUGAUGAUGUGGAUACUGUUCAUACUGAUGAUAUUAUGCUGAUAAUGUGGAUAUUGAUGAUGUAGAUGCCCCGGAUGAUCAACCAGGGACUAAUAAAGCUGGACAGUGCCAUGAUGUGAAUACUGUUGAUACUGAUGAUGGGGAUGCUGAUGAUGUGGAUGUUGAUAAUGUUGAUGCCUCCGUUGAUCAACCAGGGACUGAAAUAGCUGGACAGUGCCAUGAUGUGAAUACUGAUGAUACUGAUGAUGUGGAUGCUGAUGAUGUGGAUGCCUCCGUUGAUCAACCAGGGACUGAAAUAG